Molecule: unclassified non-coding RNA, 226 nt
Filed under: Apodus deciduus
Lineage: Eukaryota; Fungi; Ascomycota; Sordariomycetes; Sordariales; Lasiosphaeriaceae
Description: partial internal transcribed spacer region
Rfam family: Eukaryotic small subunit ribosomal RNA (bases 1-46)
Source: RNAcentral
AAGUCGUAACAAGGUCUCCGUUGGUGAACCAGCGGAGGGAUCAUUACAGAGUUGCAAAACUCCCAACCCUUUGUGAACGAACCUAUUAGUUGCUUCGGCGGCAGACCCCUCUGGGGCCUAGCCUUUACGGGUACCCCGCCGGAGUCCUACAAACUCUUAAUUUUUUGGCAUCUCUGAGUAGCUUAUAAAUAAGUUAAAACUUUCAACAACGGAUCUCUUGGUUCUG